UUGACUCUUUCCGCAGAGCCGAAGCCUAUACACGUCAAGUCGUCAACCCCUGCUGAAGCCCUCGGACAAUGUACCCACAAUCGCAAGGUUGGCACCGGAGCCGCGAGGCGACGAUGCAUCUGCCAGCAUAAGGUGGAGAGGGGC
This is a non-coding RNA of Acidobacteria bacterium 13_2_20CM_58_27, 144 nucleotides long. Lineage: Bacteria; Pseudomonadati; Acidobacteriota. The record is from Rfam.